UGCGAUGGCCCGGUCCUUUCGGUGCCGGAUCCUCAGCCCCCAGCCCCCCGGGGCCAUCAGGAUCGGGCCUAUUC
This 74-nucleotide non-coding RNA is filed under the name Nitrobacter hamburgensis X14. Its description in RNAcentral is "Bradyrhizobiaceae sRNA BjrC174". It matches the Rfam family "Bradyrhizobiaceae sRNA BjrC174", at positions 82 to 156 of the family's 201-position model. Lineage: Bacteria; Pseudomonadati; Pseudomonadota; Alphaproteobacteria; Hyphomicrobiales; Nitrobacteraceae. The record is from Rfam by way of RNAcentral.